This 497-nucleotide ribosomal RNA is filed under the name uncultured bacterium. RNAcentral's name for it is "partial 16S ribosomal RNA". It matches the Rfam family "Bacterial small subunit ribosomal RNA", at positions 28 to 507 of the family's 1533-position model. The record is from RNAcentral.
GAUGAACGCUGGCGGCGUGCCUAAUACAUGCAAGUCGAGCGAACAGACGAGGGGCUUGCUCCUUUGACGUUAGCGGCGGACGGGUGAGUAACACGUGGGUAACCUACCUAUAAGACUGGGAUAACUUCGGGAAACCGGAGCUAAUACCGGAUAAUAUUUCGAACCGCAUGGUUCGAUAGUGAAAGAUGGCUUUGCUAUCACUUAUAGAUGGACCUGCGCCGUAUUAGCUAGUUGGUAAGGUAACGGCUUACCAAGGCAACGAUACGUAGCCGACCUGAGAGGGUGAUCGGCCACACUGGAACUGAGACACGGUCCAGACUCCUACGGGAGGCAGCAGUAGGGAAUCUUCCGCAAUGGGCGAAAGCCUGACGGAGCAACGCCGCGUGAGUGAUGAAGGUCUUCGGAUCGUAAAACUCUGUUAUUAGGGAAGAACAAACGUGUAAGUAACUGUGCACGUCUUGACGGUACCUAAUCAGAAAGCCACGGCUAACUACGUG